Molecule: transfer RNA, 72 nt
Filed under: Rhipicephalus microplus (southern cattle tick)
Lineage: Eukaryota; Metazoa; Arthropoda; Arachnida; Ixodida; Ixodidae
Description: tRNA-Pro
Rfam family: tRNA
About the family: Transfer RNA (tRNA) molecules are approximately 80 nucleotides in length. Their secondary structure includes four short double-helical elements and three loops (D, anti-codon, and T loops). Further hydrogen bonds mediate the characteristic L-shaped molecular structure. tRNAs have two regions of fundamental functional importance: the anti-codon, which is responsible for specific mRNA codon recognition, and the 3' end, to which the tRNAs corresponding amino acid is attached (by aminoacyl-tRNA synthetases). tRNAs cope with the degeneracy of the genetic code in two manners: having more than one tRNA (with a specific anti-codon) for a particular amino acid; and 'wobble' base-pairing, i.e. permitting non-standard base-pairing at the 3rd anti-codon position.
Source: Rfam by way of RNAcentral
GGCUCGUUGGUCUAGGAGUAGGAUUCUCGCUUCGGGUGCGAGAGGUCCCGGGUUCAAAUCCUGGACGAGCCC